AUGUCUGUGUUAGAAAGGUAAACUGUAUCAGGGAUGCUGCUGGAACCCAAAUGCCCACUGCACAAAAGGAAAACCAAAGAACCAGGUGGGCAUCCUCACCAUCUGGCUUUUAGUCCGGAAAUAUCUGACCUUCUCUCCAGAGGGGUUCACACCUUUCUAGUCACUGCAGCCGCAAUCAAAGGCAGCUGUGUCACAGUGGUAGGCACUUGGGAACAGGUGGGAUAAAGAUGAGCUGAAAUCCUUUCCCUGAAUUCAGUCACAGAGCUGAUAAGAACAUCCAAGACUGCUGACUUUCCAGUUAGAAUCCUCCCUGCUGAGCAGCCUGGGCAUUUCAUUUCUCUUCUUUGUGUAUAACAAGCUAUGCUCCAGUUCAUACAAUGAGAAAUGCUCUGAGUACGACAUACAUUUGAAAUAAAAUCUCAGCUCUUAAUGGAACUCCCAGUAUGCCCUACAAUCUAGGAGACUGUAAUGGAGGAGUUUUUAUUUUUAGAAGAUCUUGUGCUGACUUUGUUUUAAUAUCUGAGUCCAUUUAUCCUGCUUUAAUGCUGAUUUAUCACUAAAAUGAGUGCUUGCUUUAUCAGCACUAGGAAUGAAAAAUAAUACACAUUGGGAGUGCAUAUAUUGUUCUUCUCACUCCCUCUCUGUAUUUCAGAUCAACAGAUACAGGGCAUUUGUUCUGAAAACCACCGUAAUUGGCUGGAAUAUGAAAACUGAAAUCUAUUUAAAUGGAUGUAGAGUGUAAGAAGGAUGGCAGAGAGACCAUGUGUAAUAAGGUCAGAGAAUGCCUCCGUGGAGUAUAGAUGCAAGAAGGGAUCUGACUGAUGAAGAAGAGGUUAAAGAGGUGAAGAGUGCAAAGUGGAAUGAAACAGGGAAUAAAGAGCACACUGGGAAAACCCUAAAUGCUCUUAACCACUGACAUUUGGAGUUAUCAACUUGAAUGCUGCAUAUCUAUGUCAAUAUCUCUCCAAAUUUCCAGAGUGCUUUUCUGUAUAACUUUAGCGCAAGCUUAUCUUCAGUUUUCUUGUCUAAUAAUACCUAAAAGGAUGUUUUAGGUUCUUCUCCAAUGAACUUCCAUCCACAUAACCGUAUAUACUUAUAAUACAGUACUAGGCAGACCAAAUACAGAAGGAUCUAUCAGGGUGGGAAUAUAAGGAUCCAGAAAACUCUGGGAUAGCGUCAUGACAGAGGAAAGAUGAUGCAAGCAGAACUUUUCUUUAACUAAAAUUGCUUUGCUGGGGUAGUAGAAGUUUAUUAACA
This is a long non-coding RNA of Numida meleagris (helmeted guineafowl), 1257 nucleotides long. RefSeq lists it as uncharacterized. Lineage: Eukaryota; Metazoa; Chordata; Aves; Galliformes; Numididae. The record is from RefSeq and is a predicted model, not a curated record. The transcript has 2 exons.